CCAAUAGCGUAUAUUAAAGUUGUUGCAGUUAAAAAGCUCGUAGUUGAAUUUCGGGGUCAGUAGGUUGGUCGUGCCACCGGUACGUACUGGUCUCACUGAUUCCUCCUUCCUGAUGAGCUGUAAUGCCAUUAAUUUGGUGUUGCAGGGAAUCUGGACUGUUACUUUGAAAAAAUUAGAGUGUUUAAAGCAGGCUAACGCUUGAAUACAUUAGCAUGGAAUAUUGAAAUAGGACGUUCGAUCCUAUUUUGUUGGUUUCUAGGAUUGACGUAAUGAUUAAUAGGGAUAGUUGGGGGCAUUAGUAUUCAAUUGUCAGAGGUGAAAUUCUUGGAUUUAUUGAAGACUAACUACUGCGAAAGCAUUUGCCAAGGAUGUUUUCAUUAAUCAAGAACGAAAGUUAGGGGAUCGAAGACGAUCAGAUACCAUCGUAGUCUUAACCAUAAACUAUGCCGACUAGGGAUCGGAUGAUGUUAAUUUUUUAAUGACUCAUUCGGCGCCUUACA
This 500-nucleotide unclassified non-coding RNA is filed under the name uncultured Glomus. Its description in RNAcentral is "SSU rRNA". It matches the Rfam family "Eukaryotic small subunit ribosomal RNA", at positions 591 to 1092 of the family's 1831-position model. The record is from RNAcentral. Lineage: Eukaryota; Fungi; Glomeromycota; Glomeromycetes; Glomerales; Glomeraceae.